UGCGUAGGCGGUUAAAUAAGUUUGAGGUUAAAUGCGUUAGCUCAACUAGCGUUUGCCUUGAAAACUGUUUGACUAGGAUGUAAACGGCGCAGGCGGAAUGAAUCAUGUAGCGGUGACAUGCAUAGAUAUGAUUCAGAACACCGAUCGCGAAGGCAGCUUGCGAGGAUACGAUUGACGCUGAAGCACGAAAGCGUGGGUAUCGAACAGGAUUAGAUACCCUGGUAGUCCACGCUGUAAACGAUGAUAACUAGAUGUUGGCGAUAUACAGUCAGUGUCGAAUUGAAAGAUAUAAGUUAUCCACCUGGGGAGUACGAUCGCAAGGUUGAAACUCAAAGGAAUUGACGGGGGCCCGCACAAGCGGAGGAGCAUGUGGUUUAAUUCGAUGAUACGCGAGGAACCUUACCCGAACUUGAACGUAUGAUGAAUAAUUUAAGAGAUUAGAUUAGUUAGCAAUAACAUUAUACGAGGUGCUGCAUGGUUGUCGUCAGCUCGUGCCGUGAGGUGUCAGGUUAAGUCCUAUAACGAGCGCAACCCCUGCACAUAGCUACCAGCACGUAAAGGUGGGGACUCUAUGUGGACUGCCGGCGCAAGCUGCGAGGAAGGCGGGGAUGACGUCAAAUCAGCACGGCCCUUACGUUCGGGGCGACACACGUGCUACAAUGGCAGGUACAGAGGGCAGCGACACAGUGAUGUGGAGCGAAUCUCGAAAGCCUGUCUCAGUUCGGAUCGGAGUCUGCAACCCGACUUCGUGAAGAUGGAUUCGCUAGUAA
Molecule: ribosomal RNA, 770 nt
Filed under: uncultured Bacteroidota bacterium
Lineage: Bacteria; Pseudomonadati; Bacteroidota
Description: bacterial SSU rRNA
Rfam family: Bacterial small subunit ribosomal RNA
Source: RNAcentral